ACUUGAGCAAAAUAAAUAAAAUUUAAUUUGGAUUCUUUCCAAGUUCCUCCCUAAAUCCGGUGCUAAACAAAUUGCAUUGGCCUUACUCACAUGAAAUAUUUUUUCUAAUUUGUAUUCAGGAAUAAUAUUUUUCUUAUUUUUAUUUAAUUUACCUUGUUAGAAACUUUAUCAAUACACAUUAAAGACAAAAAAUGUGUGAACAGAAAAAAAUGUAUUUACAAAAAAUUGUUUGAUCAAUAGUAUGGCAACAGGCUGAAAAUCCAGUACGAGCUGAUAUCACUUGUGAAAAUUAACAUAAACACAUUUAAUAUCUAUGUAAUUUACUUAUCUUACUAUAUUUUGUAUGUGAGGA
Long non-coding RNA from Culicoides brevitarsis, 352 nucleotides. RefSeq lists it as uncharacterized. The record is from RefSeq and is a predicted model, not a curated record. Lineage: Eukaryota; Metazoa; Arthropoda; Insecta; Diptera; Ceratopogonidae. The transcript is spliced from 3 exons.